AGAACGUCAUAUUUUGUCAGUUAUGUUUAAUGUAUGUGAUGACUUCACGGAGUCCCCACAAUGCAGGCUUUGGUUAAAUAUGUGUAAAUGAGAGAGAUGUUGGGAAAAUACUGUUAGCUAGCCUAGUGUCCCCACAAGUCACAUGGUCACAAAAUGUGUUAAGCGUCCUCACAAAGAAUGUUUAGGCCUUAAUGUGUGUAAGCAGUGAGGAAACACUACAUUUGCAUAUCUCAGUGCAUGUUUGAGUUUUGCAAAGUUGUAACAUGUCUUCUGCUUUAUGUUUGGUCCAAUGUAAUAGAAGUGUUAUGUGUAUAUGAAGUCUGUCUUUGAAUUUCUUGGUUAAUUUCUCAAUGUACCAUAUUUGAACAAAUCAGGGAGGACACAGUUUCCAAGAGUAACAUCAAAGAGAAUCAGCCACCAUCCCCGUCAGAACCUGUUCUAUCUACUUGUUCCUCAGCAAGUGAUCAGAGGACUGGAAAGAACACAAUAUCAGAAAACAGUGCUCAAGAGAACUAUCAGCUGUUGCAAUCAGGACCUGUUCUGUUUGCUUGUUCCUUAGCAAGUGAUCAAAGGUCUAAGAAGGACACAAUUUCAGAGAGCAGUGCUCAAGAGGACUGUCUGCCAUUGCAGUCCAGACCUGCUCUGUCUGCAUGUUCCUCAGCAAGUGAUAAGAUGAGAAAUUCCAAUCCUGAGAAGAUUGCAUGGGUCACCCCUAUGUCUCGUCAGUCAGAGCCUCUGAAGGAUCACAGCAACAACAGCAGUUCU
Pygocentrus nattereri (red-bellied piranha) is the source of this 765-nucleotide long non-coding RNA. RefSeq lists it as uncharacterized. The record is from RefSeq and is a predicted model, not a curated record. The transcript is spliced from 4 exons. NCBI's taxonomy places the organism in Eukaryota, Metazoa, Chordata, Actinopteri, Characiformes, Serrasalmidae.